UGAGGAAUAUUGGUCAAUGGGCGGGAGCCUGAACCAGCCAAGCCGCGUGAGGGAAGAAGGCCCUAUGGGUCGUAAACCUCUUUUGUCAGGGAACAAAAGCGAGUAUGUAUACUGGUCUGAGUGUACCUGAAGAAAAAGCAUCGGCUAACUCCGUGCCAGCAGCCGCGGUAAUACGGAGGAUGCGAGCGUUAUCCGGAUUUAUUCGGUUUAAAGGGUGCGUAGGCGGCGGUGCAAGUCAGCGGUAAAAGCCCGGGGCUCAACCCCGGCGAGCCGUUGAAACUGCAGUGCUAGAGAAGGCGAGAGGUACGCGGAAUGCGCAGUGUAGCGGUGAAAUGCUUAGAUAUUGCGCAGAACUCCGAUUGCGAAGGCAGCGUACUGGCGCCUGACUGACGCUGAGGCACGAAAGCGUGGGGAUCGAACAGGAUUAGAUACCC
Molecule: ribosomal RNA, 434 nt
Filed under: uncultured bacterium
Lineage: Bacteria
Description: bacterial SSU rRNA
Rfam family: Bacterial small subunit ribosomal RNA
Source: RNAcentral